CCUACGGGCGGCUGCAGUGGGGAAUAUUGCACAAUGGGCGCAAGCCUGAUGCAGCCAUGCCGCGUGUGUGAAGAAGGCCUUCGGGUUGUAAAGCACUUUCAGCGGGGAGGAAGGCGUUAAGGUUAAUAACCUUGGCGAUUGACGUUACCCGCAGAAGAAGCACCGGCUAACUCCGUGCCAGCAGCCGCGGUAAUACGGAGGGUGCAAGCGUUAAUCGGAAUUACUGGGCGUAAAGCGCACGCAGGCGGUCUGUCAAGUCGGAUGUGAAAUCCCCGGGCUCAACCUGGGAACUGCAUUCGAAACUGGCAGGCUAGAGUCUUGUAGAGGGGGGUAGAAUUCCAGGUGUAGCGGUGAAAUGCGUAGAGAUCUGGAGGAAUACCGGUGGCGAAGGCGGCCCCCUGGACAGAGACUGACGCUCAGGUGCGAAAGCGUGGGGAGCAAACAGGAUUAGAUACCCUAGUAGUC
This 465-nucleotide ribosomal RNA is filed under the name uncultured Klebsiella sp. RNAcentral describes it as "bacterial SSU rRNA". It matches the Rfam family "Bacterial small subunit ribosomal RNA", at positions 338 to 795 of the family's 1533-position model. The record is from RNAcentral. Lineage: Bacteria; Pseudomonadati; Pseudomonadota; Gammaproteobacteria; Enterobacterales; Enterobacteriaceae.